This 456-nucleotide long non-coding RNA is filed under the name Mytilus galloprovincialis (Mediterranean mussel). Lineage: Eukaryota; Metazoa; Mollusca; Bivalvia; Mytilida; Mytilidae. The record is from RNAcentral.
GAAGGAAACUUGUCAAUUGUGUUUAUUUUUAAUCCAAAAUAAAAUAAGCCGCCGUAAAAUUAAUCUUGGGUUAAUUCCUCAAAUUGAUGCAAGAGGCUUCUUUUUUUUUAAGCUAUAUUUUUAAUGACUUACACUUUUUACCAUUAUUCUCUUUCUUUCACUAUUCUUUAUUCCUUUUUUUCUUUGCCCGUUAGGGAGCUACCAUUUGAUUUUUAUAGGGGGGCUAGGAUGAAAUUUGAAAAAAAAUAGGCAGGACAGGAGUUUUAAGUAAAAAAAAAGGCAGGAUGAGACACUUUGCCAAAAAAAAGGCAGGAUGACAAUUUAGGUAAAAAAAAGUCAGGAUAAACUGAUAAAAAAAAGGCAGGACCGAAUAGAGUGAAAAAUAAAAAGGCAGGACAGAGAUUACAACUAAAAAAAAAUGCAGGACAAAAUUUUUCAUCCUAGCCCCCCCCCCCC